CACACAACUGCAAGUUUUACUGGUUGAGUUGUUACGGCUGAGGCUGUGUAGGAGUUAGAACAAGGUUAUCUCAGUGAGUUUAAUAGAGCAGGGUGAAUUUUUUGCAUAGGUUUGUAUUUUACCCUGCAGAGUUCCCUCAGCCAACCUAAAAGGAGUGCUGGAGGAGUGUGGUGACUAAACUCCCUGGACAGAAAUAACAAAAUACUUCUGUGUGUGGACCAUUAAGCAAGACUAUUAGAAAUAUUCCCUCUGAUACUGGGAGAGUAUAUAAUGCUACACAGUGCUACAAAAAUGUUUCAUUCUUUGGUAUCAUGAUAUGGGGGCUGUGCAAGCCUUGACUCGAGUUAAAGCCUUGACUCAUCCUGGAGAGGAGGGAGUCGUUUUCCAGCUCAUACAGGGCUUCCCUUCGACUUCAGGUCAGACCAGAUAUAUCCUGUGUUCUGUGACUGACUCUCUUUUUGUGUCAGGACAAAGUCUAGAGCUGAAGGUUUUAAGUGGUGAGAGCUACAGAGAAACGAAUGAAAAGCUCCAGAUUUAGAUCUUCAGCCUCCUUUCAUGUAUCCACUACCACAAACUUCACGGUGUCCAAAACACUCCCACUACAGGAAACCACAUCAUGUUAAAUGGUUGCGGUCACUGCAUAUCCCCCUGUUGCACCUUUCUUGUCCUGUAACCCAUUCACUGUGCAGAUUCAUUUUAGUUGAUGUAGGAAGGGCUUUCCUCUGGAAAACUUGCAGUUCUGAUUUCUUCGACCUUUGACUCUGUUCAAGGCUUCUCUGCAGUCCAGGAAAUCUGAAGGUGACCACUGUCGCUCCACUGUGGCUCUGUGGCACAAAGUCUUUUGUCUUCUCCUUUCUCACAGCUGUCUGUGUGCUGACAACUGGCCCAGCUAGAGGUCACUUGAUAGCCAGGCCCUAGUCCUGCCCCUCUCCAUCACAACAUUGGUUUGGGUACAUCUGCAUGAUUAUGUUUGGGUGCAAGUUAAUUACUGAAAAUUCCUGGCCUCUGAGGCGAUUGGGACUAAUUAAGCCUCAUGCUCCCUUCAGCAUAGCAGUGGAUGCCAUAUAGUACUGCAUUCAUCUAAGAGCAAUGAAAACCUGUGUGGAUUGCCCAGUGCAAUUUCAGCUGCAGGGCAGGUCCAAUGGUUUCAGCAGUUACAAGCAAGCAGACCGGCAGUGGCUUCUAUCAGCAUUAAGGUAGCUGACCGACCAUGACAUGAAGAAAAGCACACGGUUCCACACAAGACUCAGCAAGGAAUAAAAGUCGUAGGCCCUCUCCCAUCUUCUCAUUCCUAGGUCAGAAAUAACAUCAAAUUACUUAUUAGUUAAUCAACCGACUGACUUCCUGUGAAUAACAAAAAUCAGGCAGGUUUGGAGGGUAGAACUAAUCUUUUCUUGUACAUGCUCAAGCCAUUAUGGGAACAACACCACCAAUAAAGGGAAAGGAUGGGCAAAUUUCACUGUGUAUACGGGGGGAGAGAAAGGUCAGUUCUUCGGAGAGUCUAAAAAGAAUGGCAUUUUUCAGGAGCUUGAUGAAACUGGGUGAGAUAAUGGAAGAGAAAGUCCCCAGAAAAUCCCUGUAUCUGCAGAAAAGCUCAGGUGUUCAUUUGUUCUUAUUAGUCCCUAGAGAAUCCACAUUGGGUUCUCAUUCUAUGGGACUCAACCUCAAACGCUUCAGUUGGAGCUUGCAUCUUUCAGAAAGUCCAUUAGUUAAUCUGUAGGAAAUCAGGCUUGAUGACUUUCAGUGCUCACAAGAACACUUGUGUUCUUUCUGGAACACAGGCAGGCAAAUUGCUGAGAUGACAAAGACAUCCGAUAUGUCUUCCAAGAAUGUCUCUCACCCUUUCACGAAUGUUUAAAUCUCUCCAUUUCCCCAAUGCAUGCUUAUUUGACAUUUUUAUAACUAGCAGGUGUUUUAUGUAAUUUUGUUGGUACCUCAGACUUACUCAAGAAGAUGAAAAAGGGUCUCUCUUUAUCUGGUCUACACCAAUUGACAUUAUCUCAAACCAUCUUCAAAUUUCUUUCCAUUCACCUCCAUAACUCUUCCUACAGGCUGUCCUCCAACUUGUCUUCAUAUCUCUAUAGUUAUCUAUUAGAAAGCUGUCACUUGGCCAGACUCUUUUUAAUGUGUUCUGUUGUCAAGAUUUGACACUUCAGUGAAGUGUAUUCAGACUCUUUUGAUCUCUAGAAAUUUUUUAUCGGUGAUGUGGAGCCUUUCAGAAAUUUCACAUGCACAGAUUGCUGUACAGCAUAUAUGAACUUGCUGUUCUCACUUGCCCUGCACAUAUCUGUUAGUAGCAGUCCAAGUAUCCCCCCCCAUACCGUCCAGAGAUUAUAGAUUGCACAGCUUUAACACAUCAAACUUGGGAUCCUGAAAUGUCAGUAGUGGAUGACUUACACUGUAGAAGAUAUCAGAGUAAAAGAUCUAACUAAAAGUAAAUGUAAAUUUGAAACUUAGCAGAUAGCUUGAGUCUCCCAUCAAAGAGUAGGAGUCUGGUUGUUGUGGAAGCCUUAACAGGACAUGAUUCCUAGUUAGGUCUACAGAGAACACUUAACGACCACAUCAGACAUUGAGGGAUUGCAGUUACCAAGAGAUGGAGAGAAAAAAAGCACCAAGGAGUUUCCAAAAAGCCCAUAUGAGAUUUGGAUGGCUGUAUUGUGUGAAGGGCCUAGGUCAGCCUUUGUGACCUGGGAGAAAAUUGUAGAGAAAUUGAGUCUGUGAUACCUUGCCCCCAGCCCAUAAACAAGCAUAGCUUUCUUUUCCUUUCUUAGUAUUGGUUGGAAACCUGGCAUUAAAAACAAAUGGAAAAGCUUCUGGGUUCCUCUGAUGUUGUAUGUUGGAAAUUGAGGGCUUUGUUGGCUUGACUGCCACUUCUGAUGAGUGGCUUACAUUGAAAUCACACAAGUCAGUAUGGUGAAAAUUGAGCAAGUGAUACAGAAAACAUAGUCCUUCUGUAAAAUUUGGUUUCAUUUAUUCAUCACUAGCACCUAUUUAAGUUCAAUAACAAAAUAGUUAUUUGGAUUAAUGUCAUCUUCAUUUACAGCAUUAGAGUUUACAGAAACAUCUGGCCUUACCCAUGUACAAUGCAUCCUAUAAGAAGUAACAAGGAAUACAGGAAUUCAGAUUUGUUGUAUUUCCAAGCAUAUAUGUUGGUUGGUUGUUUUCUGUAGAAUAU
Neopsephotus bourkii (Bourke's parrot) is the source of this 3175-nucleotide long non-coding RNA. RefSeq lists it as uncharacterized. Lineage: Eukaryota; Metazoa; Chordata; Aves; Psittaciformes; Psittacidae. The transcript is spliced from 2 exons. The record is from RefSeq and is a predicted model, not a curated record.